AGAGUUUGAUCCUGGCUCAGGAUGAACGCUGGCGGCGUGCCUAAUACAUGCAAGUCGAGCGAACGGACGAGAAGCUUGCUUCUCUGAUGUUAGCGGCGGACGGGUGAGUAACACGUGGAUAACCUACCUAUAAGACUGGGAUAACUUCGGGAAACCGUAGCUAAUACCGGAUAAUAUUUUGAACCGCAUGGUUCAAAAGUGAAAGACGGUCUUGCUGUCACUUAUAGAUGGAUCCGCGCUGCAUUAGCUAGUUGGUAAGGUAACGGCUUACCAAGGCAACGAUGCAUAGCCGACCUGAGAGGGUGAUCGGCCACACUGGAACUGAGACACGGUCCAGACUCCUACGGGAGGCAGCAGUAGGGAAUCUUCCGCAAUGGGCGAAAGCCUGACGGAGCAACGCCGCGUGAGUGAUGAAGGUCUUCGGAUCGUAAAACUCUGUUAUUAGGGAAGAACAUAUGUGUAAGUAACUGUGCACAUCUUGACGGUACCUAAUCAGAAAGCCACGGCUAACUACGUGCCAGCAGCCGCGGUAAUACGUAGGUGGCAAGCGUUAUCCGGAAUUAUUGGGCGUAAAGCGCGCGUAGGCGGUUUUUUAAGUCUGAUGUGAAAGCCCACGGCUCAACCGUGGAGGGUCAUUGGAAACUGGAAAACUUGAGUGCAGAAGAGGAAAGUGGAAUUCCAUGUGUAGCGGUGAAAUGCGCAGAGAUAUGGAGGAACACCAGUGGCGAAGGCGACUUUCUGGUCUGUAACUGACGCUGAUGUGCGAAAGCGUGGGGAUCAAACAGGAUUAGAUACCCUGGUAGUCCACGCCGUAAACGAUGAGUGCUAAGUGUUAGGGGGUUUCCGCCCCUUAGUGCUGCAGCUAACGCAUUAAGCACUCCGCCUGGGGAGUACGACCGCAAGGUUGAAACUCAAAGGAAUUGACGGGGACCCGCACAAGCGGUGGAGCAUGUGGUUUAAUUCGAAGCAACGCGAAGAACCUUACCAAAUCUUGACAUCCUUUGACAACUCUAGAGAUAGAGCUUUCCCCUUCGGGGGACAAAGUGACAGGUGGUGCAUGGUUGUCGUCAGCUCGUGUCGUGAGAUGUUGGGUUAAGUCCCGCAACGAGCGCAACCCUUAAGCUUAGUUGCCAUCAUUAAGUUGGGCACUCUAAGUUGACUGCCGGUGACAAACCGGAGGAAGGUGGGGAUGACGUCAAAUCAUCAUGCCCCUUAUGAUUUGGGCUACACACGUGCUACAAUGGACAAUACAAAGGGCAGCGAAACCGUGAGGUCAAGCAAAUCCCAUAAAGUUGUUCUCAGUUCGGAUUGUAGUCUGCAACUCGACUACAUGAAGCUGGAAUCGCUAGUAAUCGUAGAUCAGC
RNAcentral lists this ribosomal RNA (1364 nucleotides) under Staphylococcus aureus M0982. Its description in RNAcentral is "bacterial SSU rRNA". It matches the Rfam family "Bacterial small subunit ribosomal RNA", at positions 8 to 1353 of the family's 1533-position model. Lineage: Bacteria; Bacillati; Bacillota; Bacilli; Caryophanales; Staphylococcaceae. The record is from RNAcentral.